Eublepharis macularius is the source of this 2362-nucleotide long non-coding RNA. RefSeq lists it as uncharacterized. The transcript has 5 exons. The record is from RefSeq and is a predicted model, not a curated record. NCBI's taxonomy places the organism in Eukaryota, Metazoa, Chordata, Lepidosauria, Squamata, Eublepharidae.
AAGAUUGUGGAAGUCACGCCACACAAGUCUCUAGGGAAGAUUACCCAAGGCGUCUUCCUAUCCCGCUUUCGGGAUAAAACUGAAGGGCAAAGGAAUAGCCCUCUGCUCAUAUACGUCAUGUGGAUGAACAUGAUCAUGGUUCAAAGAUCAAACGGCAGCCGCACACUGCUUGGUGGCCCACCUCCCUUCCUGCCUCCACAAGGCACUGGUGUGGACAUGGCUGUGAGUGGCAGCACCCCCUCGGCCAUCCUGUCGGCAAUCACCCCUCGCAACCGCUCUGCAAUGGUAUGGAGGCAGAGCAGCAAAAUUCUUGAAGUUUACCAGGGGUGGGGUGGGAAGAGGAACGCUGCAGCAUCUGCCACCAAACAUUUUACAAGUACAGGUCCAGUUCUCAUGCAAAGGGACUGGCUAUCGAGAUACCAGCUAGCCCUCAUCUGGGCACAGCCAGACAAAAUGCUAGGGUUUCUUUGAGCUCUUCUGCCCUCCUGGGAUGUGCAUGAUGACCUAGUCUGAUCAGGAUGGUGGCAUCCAGGGAAGAGGGAUUAAGCCUGACUCUUCACACUAUUUUCCUGAUCAGAAAUGGCCCCAAGGAGCUACUGAUCGUCCCUUCAGGUUAAGGAUACACUGAUUCCUUGCAAUCAGAAGUGAUCAGCUUCAGGGGAAAGUAGUCAAAUAUUUGAUUAUCUAGAAGCCCCUUAUAGACUUUUUGCAAGAAACAGAAAGAGAUGAACUAAUAAUCUGUGCUUGUGAAGAUUAAGGAGAGGGAAAAAUAUAUAAAUGGAAAGGAAAAGUAGCUACUUAAUGAUUAUUUUAGAAUUAGUAUAUAAUAUGUAUUAAUGUUAGCAUCUUUCAAAUGGAAAAUGGGUACCUACUCCUAUUUAUAUAAGUAUAUUCUUAUCUCCUUUUUUUCUUUUUGUAGGUUUUAGAAUUUUAAAAUUUUAAUGAAACUCUAUUUUUAAAAAAAGAUCAGCUGAGGUUUCCUUGAUAAAAGCCAGAGGCAGGAGAUGUUCCCUGAUUGCUAGGAGCCACUCUGCAGCGACUGAAGUGUAAUGCACAGCAUUACGCUGGGCCACAGGGGCGCUGCGUGUUAUGGGGGUUUUGUCACCAGUUUUAUCUGUUUUAAUUUUGCACUGUCCAUUUAAUUGUUAUAUUGUAUAUUAUAUUGCAUUUUAAUUUGGUUGUGAUCCACUCUGAGCAUGUGCAGGGAGAAUGGAUUAUAAACAAAGGAACAAAAGACUGAACGAACGAAAUGAAGAAAGGAAGAAAUGAAGAAAGAAAAAGAAAGAAAAAGAAAGAGAGAAAGAUGGGGAAGGUGGCACCUGUGGGAGGGAGCCAGAGAAACAUUUUGAAGAGAUUAAGCAAAAACAGGCUUACAUAGGAAGGGGGAGGAGGUUAGGAGGGGAGCACAGUUUGACGCAGGGGUGGCUUCUUGAAGAGCCAUCUUGCUUUGAAGAGGCGCUGCUUAAAUAAAGGCAAAAGCACAUGUUGCAAAGAUAGCAUAGGUCCCCCACCUCCACCAUGUUCUUUCUUCUGAAGGAAGCCAGACCUCGUAGCACUGAUCUGGAACUUCAGUGUUGAGGUGACCCUGUAUAUGGCACAGCAGUUAUCACUGUUUGCUGAAAGAGUGGCUGUAAUUGCCGCAUCUUUUUGUGCCUGCUUGAAUUCAAACAGAAAGGCAUGUGAGUAAUGUGCUGGGUAGAACGUAUUUUGGGCAAUGGUAGUUAUAAGACCUUAGUGUUCACCUGUUUUGGAUUUUGUCUACUGAAACUACAUUUGACUUCCUUGGGGUAAGUGGCAUAUCAACUAAAUAAAUCACACGGGACAGACUUCAGGGCAGGUUGCCUUGAAAGUGAGGGGGUGGCACUGAGGAGGUACUCACGCUUUCACAUCUUCUGGCAGGUUUGGGACAACAGUGUAUUGGCAGCAGAGGAACAGAGAGGGAUACCCAAGGUCAGCAAUUUCUGCAUUGCCUUUCAUUGGAGGAGGCUGGCAGCUGAGGAUAAGACCAGUGGCGGACAUCAGAAGGACCACGAAGACAGCGCCUGCUCUUCCAGGUCUACGACACACACCAAUUUCAUUCUGUGCAAUGAUUGCAACCCUGAUGACCUUUUAAUUUCUUCACCUGUGGCUGGGACACAUGUGUCUACCAAGAUGCAAUGUAGAUGGUACAACAUGACUCAGCCCUAGCUGUGGCCGGCUGGCAGCAGAUGUCGUUGGAUAACUUCCUCAGGGGAUGUAGGAUCCCUGUAUCUAUUAUAUAAGCAAGAUAUAAUCAUCUUCAAUAAUGGGCAUACUCAAACCACUUCAUAUAAUGGUGCAUACUCGAACCACUUAUUCAAAUAAACAGUUACUCACCUUGAAA